GUUGUAUGGUUAAGUGACUAAGCGUACACGGUGGAUGCCUUGGCAGUUGGAGGCGAUGAAGGACGUAUUAACUUGCGAUAAGCCUAGUCAAGCUAGUAAAAAGCACUUGAGACUAGGAUUUCCGAAUGGGGAAACCCACCUGCUUGCAGGUAUCGUUAACUGAAUACAUAGGUUAACGAGGCGAACGCGGAGAACUGAAACAUCUAAGUACCCGUAGGAAAAGAAAUCAACCGAGAUUCCGGAAGUAGCGGCGAGCGAAACCGGAACAGCCCUUAAGCUUAUUAUGUGUUAAUGGAAGGCCGCUGGAAAGCGCCACGAUACAGGGUGAUAGUCCCGUACAUGAAAAGACAUUUUAAGUGAAAUCGAGUAGGUCGGAGCACGUGAAACUUUGACUGAAUAUAGGUGGACCAUCAUCUAAGGCUAAAUACUCCCAACUGACCGAUAGUGAACCAGUACCGUGAGGGAAAGGCGAAAAGAACCCCUGUGAGGGGAGUGAAAUAGAACCUGAAACCGUGUACGUACAAGCAGUAGGAGCCCACUUGUUGGGUGACUGCGUACCUUUUGUAUAAUGGGUCAGCGACUUAUAUUUUGUAGCGAGGUUAACCGAAUAGGGUAGCCGUAGGGAAACCGAGUCUUAACUGGGCGACGAGUUGCAAGGUAUAGACCCGAAACCCGGUGAUCUAGCCAUGGGCAGGUUGAAGGUUGAGUAACAUCAACUGGAGGACCGAACCCACUAACGUUGAAAAGUUAGGGGAUGACCUGUGGCUAGGAGUGAAAGGCUAAUCAAACCGGGAGAUAGCUGGUUCUCCCCGAAAUCUAUUUAGGUAGAGCCUCGGACGAAUACUUACGGGGGUAGAGCACUGUUAAGGCUAGGGGGUCAUCCCGACUUACCAACCCUUUGCAAACUCCGAAUACCGUAAAGUAAUAUCCGGGAGACACACGGCGGGUGCUAACGUCCGUCGUGAAGAGGGAAACAACCCAGACCGCCAGCUAAGGUCCCAAAGUCAUAGUUAAGUGGGAAACGAUGUGGAAAGGCCCAGACAGCCAGGAGGUUGGCUUAGAAGCAGCCAUCCUUUAAAGAAAGCGUAAUAGCUCACUGGUCGAGUCGGUCUGCGCGGAAGAUGUAACGGGGCUAAACUAUGCACCGAAGCUGCGGAUUCAGAAUUUAUUCUGAGUGGUAGGGGAGCGUUCUGUAAGCGGUUGAAGGUGUACCGGGAGGUAUGCUGGACGUAUCAGAAGUGCGAAUGCUGACAUGAGUAACGAUAAUGGGAGUGAAAAACUCCCACGCCGGAAGACCAAGGGUUCCUAUCCCAUGUUAAUCAGGGUAGGGUAAGUCGACCCCUAAGGCGAGGCCGAAAGGCGUAGUCGAUGGGAAACAGAUUAAUAUUUCUGUACUCGAUAUAAUUGCGAUGGGGGGACGGAGCAGGCUAAGCAAGCAUGGCGUUGGUAGUCCAUGUGAAAGUGAGUAGGGCGUUUGUUUAGGUAAAUCCGGACGAACA
RNAcentral lists this ribosomal RNA (1499 nucleotides) under Pseudoalteromonas sp. NEC-BIFX-2020_002. RNAcentral describes it as "partial 23S ribosomal RNA". It matches the Rfam family "Bacterial large subunit ribosomal RNA", at positions 1 to 1552 of the family's 2925-position model. Lineage: Bacteria; Pseudomonadati; Pseudomonadota; Gammaproteobacteria; Alteromonadales; Pseudoalteromonadaceae. The record is from RNAcentral.